This is a long non-coding RNA of Clupea harengus (Atlantic herring), 3772 nucleotides long. RefSeq lists it as uncharacterized. The transcript is spliced from 4 exons. The record is from RefSeq and is a predicted model, not a curated record. Lineage: Eukaryota; Metazoa; Chordata; Actinopteri; Clupeiformes; Clupeidae.
UUCUGCCACUUGGCAUUUUGUAAGCCAAAGUUUUUUUCCCUCUUGAUUUACAAGCUUUACAACAGUGAUACCGAAGAUCAGUCCAGUGCAGUCCAAGGUCCCAGCACUAGAUCAAGGUCAAGAGCCAACCAGCCCAGCAUACCCAAUAUAGAUAUAGGUGACACAGCCACUAGCCCGCCUCCUACAAACGAUCUCCAGAACACCAGUUAUCGCACUACCAACUCUCCAAACUCCAGAAUCUCUACGCCAUUCAGACGUGGGUCAGCUACAACUACAAUGAGGGGCGACAGCAGCUCUUUCCUACGCACUGACAACAAUCCUUCUAUCAACCAAAUAGUCACUGUUGGCAUUGGAUCUACUUCAACUACCACUUCUAUCUCAAGUGCUACUGCGUCCACUAGUCAGUCUGUCAGCCAACAUCCAAGACUGACUGCUAGUGUCACUCCAGUGACUGCUAGUGUCACAGUCUCUAGCUCCCAAUUUGGCCCCCCUUCUGACUAUGCCACAUAUGUAUCCUUGAUGAGAGAUCUGUCUGAUUUAUCGUCAGAUGAUGAGGACUUCAACUUGGCAAUAAUGGCUAGCCUUGAAACUGAACAAGCCCAAGCCACUCUAAGCCAAAAUUCAUCUGUUAAGGAGAUUCUCUUGGAGUUGGCCGAGAACAUCUCACCAAGUAUUCGUUUUAAAUUUAAUAUAAAUCGCUCGGCAGUGUUGGAUGGUGCCUUCCGAGGUUUCAAGCGGGCAACAUACAACCCCAAUGCCACUAUGAAUAUAAAAUUUUCAGAUGAUCUUGGGCGCAAUGAGGAGGCAGUCGAUUUUGGAGGACCAAAGAGAGAAUUUUUACGCCUGCUGAUGGAAACCUUGGCGAUGAGCCCUAUGUUUGAGGGGUCCCUUUCCAGUCAAAAUUUGGCACUUGACAUUCCAGGUAAUUUCUUGUAGUAUAAAGCUAUAUAAUUUGUAUUAUAAUGUCUUUAAAUGUAUAUAAUUUCAAUUAUGAUAAUAAUUCAAACAUAAUAGAUAAUAUAUUUUCACUGGUGACACUCAGAUAAAUUUAAGUCCAGCAAUCACACAUUAAUUCUAUAUGGGGUUACUUAACAGUUCGAUCAGUCUUAACUAUUCAUAUCUUUUCAACAACAUACUGAUUUUACAGCAAUCAGAGAGGACCGCUAUUUCCUUGCUGGAAGAGCAAUGGCAGUCAGUCUGGUACAUGGAGGUCCUCCACCCACCUUUCUGUCCAAAACACUGUAUGACUGCUUGGUUGGAGGCAGUCAUACAGCCAAGCCAGUGCUACAGGACAUUGCGGACACAGACAUCUACAAUCAAAUACAAAUGGUCAGUUGUAUCAUUGUAUAACAACAAUAACAACAAAAGUAGUCUAACAAUCCAAAUAUGGAUUGUUGAAAACAGACAAACCUUUGACCUUGUGUGCUGAUCUAGAUUAUGUUUCUCAACCCUGGUCCUUGGGGUACCUCUGACAGGACACUGUUUUAGAUGUUCCCUUUUUCCAAUACAUCUCAUUCAAAGGAAUGGUUAUCAGGCUUCUGCAGAGCUUGAUGUCAACACAUCCAUUUGAAUCAGGUGUGUUGGAGCAUGGGCACUGUUUUAGAGUACCUUUAUAUACACACAUACAUAUAUAUAGGCCUAGGCUAUAUACUGGAUUCAUACUGUAAUAGUGUUACUAUAACAAAGUGGUGUAGAUGCUUCUGUCAGGUGGCUGCUGCUGUCGGUGCUAAAAUAGCAUGUUCAGAUGGAUAGUGACUCACAAAUAGUAGUGGAACGAAUCACAAAACUCACUGUUUGGAUCGGAGCGUUGUCCAGUUACGCAUCUGAUAAUUUUUCGGCUCAGCAAAACAAAAAGACACAAACUGUAUCUUUGCGUUCCAUUUAUUUGAAUAUUAUCAAUAAUAAUGAAUAAUAAAUAGUUUGCGGGAGUUCAAGUUUUUCCGCUCCUCAUCUAUCCAUGAGUGUCUGCUCUUUCUUUUUAUUUUGCCUACUUGUUGUUUGCAAUCCAUCCCGGAUUGAUUCAUGGAGAUUACAUUUCCCUGGUGCAUAAACAUGACAUUUUUGGGCGACUCGACUUGCUCACGCUGUCGGUCGGUUCACAAAAAUUACAUGCAUGUAUGGCCUAUUACAGUAUAGUCGCAUCCAAUUUGCGCUUGUUAGCCUUGAUGUCAAAUUUACAUUUAGCACUUCGGAGUGAAACAGCACGCAUCUGUGUAGUCUGUAUCUUUUCACUGCAACUUUGCAUCAAAAUUGAGAUAAUUACGUGGAUUCGCCUUGACUGUUAAUGAUAAGCAAAUGUUGCCCCUAUCGCCCAACCAUAGGAUGUAUGCAUCAUGCUUUGUUUAAAAAUGAAUAUCUAUACAACUUUUCAUUUCAGGUGUCAGAAAGUUCUACUUACGAGGACCUCCUUGCUGCAACUCAGAAGAUUCAAGAUUAUUUGGCCAAUGCCGGAUGUCUUCGACCAUUAAGGAACAUUGAGGACAAGGAACAGCUUGUUCAUGAUAUCCUCAUGUUUCAAGUUGUGCACCGGGUUCAAGCCCCAUUCCAAAGGUUUCAAGAGGGUCUUAAAACUCUUGGCGUGUUGGAGAAGCUCCAGAAGCAUCCGGAAAGUUUCCGUCCUCUGUUUUGCCAUCAGGAGUCCAGACCCACUGCCGAAGCAAUGGAAGAUCUGUUCAGCAUCCUUCUUUCUGAUCAAGGAAGCAACAGGAGAAGAGCAGAGGAAGCUGUGGUAUCCUUCUGGAGAGAUUAUUUGCAAGAUGCAGAGGAUGAAGAGGGUCCUUCCAAACUUGAGAAAAUUCUUAGUUUUGCCACUGGAGCGACUGCAGUUCCACCCAUAGGCUUCAACCCCACACCAUCUAUUGGUUUCCUACACGAGGAGGAGUAUGGAGAUACGGCUGUAUCAAGCCUCCCUAUCGCCAACACAUGUAUCAACUGCCUGAAGCUGCCUUUGCACAACUCUUAUGCUGUUUUUAAAGACAAGAUGGACUUUGCCUUGGCCAACACACAGGGGUUUGGCAGAGCCUAAGAGGCUUAGUGUUUUAUAGUAGUUCUGUGAAAGUACAUUUUUUUUGUUUCAUAUUACUUUGUUCAUUGGUUUAUGGAGAUGUGCACAUUAAAACACAGCUUGUGAUUGGCUUUUAAAAAUGUAUUUUAGCAUUACUCGUAAGAGUAAUGUCAGAUUGCACUCUGAUUCUAUACAUUCAAUUUUGUAGUUUGUGGCCUGGUUAUCCUAUAGUUGUCUUUCUUUUGGGAUAUUUGAAGAGAGCCUUUAGAUCUGUGAAAUUUAAGGUUUUGCCAUCAUCCAGACAGUUGAAAUAUUGGAACGUUUUUAUUCCAGUUGUGAUAUCAUUGUACAUGCAGUCCAUGUUAGAACCAACAAAAGAAAAACAAUGUGUUGCUUGCAGGUCAUUACAAUUUAAAAUGUUUUCUGAUUGGUUGAAAAAAAAAGAAACAGCAGCAUCCAACACAAACUAAUAAGCACAGUUUUAAGUCACCUUUUAUGUUUAAAGCAUCACAUAAUCAUAGGUUAUUUAAAUUACAGUGAGUAAACCAGUACAUUGAGAACUACAAUAUUCUAUGUUUCUCAUUCUCAGUUUGAGUAUACACUGUAAGUAUUGUAAUGUGAGUUUAAUGAAAACACCCACAUUUAUAUUUUUGUCGAAAGAUGAAGGCAGAUUAUGUAUGGUGUUGCUGAAAAAAAUACAAAAGAGAACAAAAUAAAUUGAUUCCAAAGUUUCCAUCAUUCUGUAGUGGAUCAAAAUGUUGCUGUAUU